Molecule: ribosomal RNA, 28 nt
Filed under: Nassauvia revoluta
Lineage: Eukaryota; Viridiplantae; Streptophyta; Magnoliopsida; Asterales; Asteraceae
Description: partial large subunit ribosomal RNA
Source: RNAcentral
GUCAGGCGGGACCACCCGCUGAGUUUAA